UACUUAGUGGCAGACGGGUGAGUAACAUGUGGGUAUCUACCCUUUGGCCUGGAAUAACACGAGGAAACUUGUGCUAAUACCGGAUAAGUCUUUACGGAGAAAGCUUUAUGCACCAUUGGAUGAGCCCGCACUUGAUUAGUUUGUUGGUAGGGUAAUGGCCUACCAAGACUAUGAUCAAUAGCUGAUUUGAGAGGAUGAUCAGCCACACUGGGACUGAGACACGGCCCAGACUCCUACGGGAGGCAGCAGUGGGGAAUAUUGGACAAUGGAGGCAACUCUGAUCCAGCAAUGCCGCGUGUGUGAUGAAGGCCUUAGGGUUGUAAAGCUCUUUCGUCGGGGAAGAAAAUGACUGUACCCGAAUAAGAAGGUCCGGCUAACUUCGUGCCAGCAGCCGCGGUAAUACGAAGGGACCUAGCGUAGUUCGGAAUUACUGGGCUUAAAGAGUUCGUAGGUGGUUGAAAAAGUUGGUGGUGAAAUCCCAGAGCUUAACUCUGGAACUGCCAUCAAAACUUUUCAGCUAGAGUAUGAUAGAGGAAAGCAGAAUUUCUAGUGUAGAGGUGAAAUUCGUAGAUAUUAGAAAGAAUACCAAUUG
Molecule: ribosomal RNA, 592 nt
Filed under: uncultured bacterium
Lineage: Bacteria
Description: bacterial SSU rRNA
Rfam family: Bacterial small subunit ribosomal RNA
Source: RNAcentral